GGGGAAUUUUUGCUUUGUGCCCUGAACUUUGUGGGCCGUUUUGGGCGAUAUACCAUAUUAGUCCGCCUCAGUGGGAUCUCUAUUUAUGCGCCGCACUAUCGAAACGGCGCGCAUCUAUGACGUCAUCACGUUAUACGUCCAUGUGAUCCCACAGCCUAUAUAAACCUGAUGCUCAUGCAAUGGCGCUGUGUCACCGUGUGUACACCCUGGGACACAGACGCAUUGCUGCUGCAAUCAGUUAUAGGGCCUGUACAAAAGCCCCAUACAAAGGCUGCUACAGAAAGGGUUUCUCUAUGUAAGCCCCUCCACAUUGCUGUUAUACUGCCAUCUGUUGUCCCAGUGUGCUCAGGACUUCAU
Long non-coding RNA from Rana temporaria (common frog), 357 nucleotides. RefSeq lists it as uncharacterized. The transcript has 2 exons. NCBI's taxonomy places the organism in Eukaryota, Metazoa, Chordata, Amphibia, Anura, Ranidae. The record is from RefSeq and is a predicted model, not a curated record.